ACCCUCCAGGAGAAGAUGUCAUCAAGAUGCUGUCCACAUCAGGGAUCAUGACAAUGUCACGCCAGAUAAAAGGGCCCCAGACCAUCCCCUAAUCAUUUAGGCCACUGAGAUUCUGGUUAGAAAUGCCUUCAGACACCACCACCAUCACCAAUAAUAAUAGAGUAAUUAUGAUGUUGCCGAUUAUGAUGUUGCAGAUAACUAACAUUGACAUAGCAUCAUUGUACUAUGUGAUGGGGCUACAUAGAGAAAAAGCAAACAAACAAGAAAGCAUUCACUGUCAAGAAACUCACAUUCCACUGGGGGAGAAAACACUUAUGAAGCAGAUCAGCUCCAGUGAGAAUGGAGAAUGAAAGGUCCAACAGAUCUGGAGUCCUUGGGAGAAUCAAAUGAGAGAACCCUGAAAAGUUUCUGCAGGCACAUACUCAUUUUCCAGAAGAGGAAACGGAGGCAAACCGAAUAAAGCAACUUGCCCAGGUCACCCA
Monodelphis domestica (gray short-tailed opossum) is the source of this 482-nucleotide long non-coding RNA. RefSeq lists it as uncharacterized. The record is from RefSeq and is a predicted model, not a curated record. Lineage: Eukaryota; Metazoa; Chordata; Mammalia; Didelphimorphia; Didelphidae.